CAAAACCCUAGUCUUGUGGUAUCAUUUCAUGGUCUUGUUCAUGUACAUUAUUUCAAGUUAUUUUUCUUUGCAAAAGUCAAACAUUCAAGCCAAUUGUGAAACCAAUUUCAACCAUUUGUUAAUCCAUUUCAAUUUAUUUCAUGUCAUUGUUUAAACCAGUACAUAUGAGUCCAUACAAAAAAAUAUACAAAAUUUGGCAUUUUUGACCAACUGUUGACUUUGGUCAACAGUUGACUUUUUGGUCAACUUUGACCAAAGUCAACCCAAA
RNAcentral lists this long non-coding RNA (268 nucleotides) under Lathyrus oleraceus (garden pea). RNAcentral's name for it is "Pisum sativum (pea) long non-coding RNA (PSAT_LNC008059)". The record is from RNAcentral. Lineage: Eukaryota; Viridiplantae; Streptophyta; Magnoliopsida; Fabales; Fabaceae.